GAUGAACGCUGGCGGCGUGCCUAAUACAUGCAAGUCGAGCGAACGGACGAGAAGCUUGCUUCUCUGAUGUUAGCGGCGGACGGGUGAGUACCACGUGGAUAACCUACCUAUAAGACUGGGAUAACUUCAGGAAACCGUAGCUAAUACCGGAUAAUAUUUUGAACCGCAUGGUUCAAAAGUGAAAGACGGUCUUGCUGUCACUUAUAGAUGGAUCCGCGCUGCAUUAGCUAGUUGGUAAGGUAACGGCUUACCAAGGCAACGAUGCAUAGCCGACCUGAGAGGGUGAUCGGCCACACUGGAACUGAGACACGGUCCAGACUCCUACGGGAGGCAGCAGUAGGGAAUCUUCCGCAAUGGGCGAAAGCCUGACGGAGCAACGCCGCGUGAGUGAUGAAGGUCUUCGGAUCGUAAAACUCUGUUAUUAGGGAAGAACAUAUGUGUAAGUAACUGUGCACAUCUUGACGUUACCUAAUCAGAAAGCCACGGCUAACUACGUG
RNAcentral lists this ribosomal RNA (497 nucleotides) under uncultured bacterium. RNAcentral's name for it is "partial 16S ribosomal RNA". It matches the Rfam family "Bacterial small subunit ribosomal RNA", at positions 28 to 507 of the family's 1533-position model. The record is from RNAcentral.